GGCGGGGGCGUCAGGACGGCGGCGCUGGGAGGCUCCUCCCGGGCCCUCCUCAUCGCAGUCAACACCAUCUCCUGGCUGGGUGCUGGCAGGAGAGGGUUCCCAGGGCGCUGGGAUUACAGAGGCCGGACACCAUGCUCCCUACCUCUGGGGCUCAGAGGGAUUAAGCAGGCUCAGACCCUACUCUGCUCCCCUCCUGACCCGGCCCCCACCCGCCGGGAAAGCGGAAGCUGGCAGCGCGGCCCGGGACAAUGGCAGCUUUGUCACCGCGGCUACUGGCGGUGCCAGGGCCGGGGCAGCCCAGGACUUGGGCGCUGGGGCCCUCCUCGGCCUCAGUGCCCCCGGCCCAACGCGGGUCCUUCUCUGCAUUCCAGGCAGCUCCACCAAAGUCUGCGUGCAACGCCCUUCAUUUGCAUGGACACACGCAACCCUCGGCGCCUGUAUGGUCAUUAACAUGCUCCUCCCACCACGGAAGAACUUUCGAGGCCCGUACCAAAGUAGAUCCUUUAUUCAAAAUCUGUGGGGGUCUUUUUGACUGUUUUUGUUGACCUGUGACCUCUCACUGAGGACGGCAGUCCAGGACCACCCCCAGAGGGGUUCAAAGACCUCCGAAACCAGAGACCACCCCCACAUAAAGGUCCAUGGAGAGGGCCUGGACCAUCUGGACCCCCACGGUCAGGCCAAGUCCCAGAUAAUAGCACCAGAUGUUUCCUGUCCGACUUUUGGUCUCCCCAAGACGACCAGAGGCCGAGCUGCCCCUACACAGGCGCAAGGCCGAGGCAGGGCGCAGCACAGCAUCUCAGGUGUCCAUCUCGCCGGCGGCGGGCCCAGCGGACCCUCGGGGCCCA
This 845-nucleotide small RNA is filed under the name Pan troglodytes (chimpanzee). RNAcentral describes it as "processed transcript". Lineage: Eukaryota; Metazoa; Chordata; Mammalia; Primates; Hominidae. The record is from RNAcentral.